RNAcentral lists this microRNA precursor (70 nucleotides) under anatid alphaherpesvirus 1. Its description in RNAcentral is "Anatid alphaherpesvirus 1 microRNA dev-mir-D21 precursor". Its record names the gene dev-mir-D21. The record is from miRBase by way of RNAcentral. Lineage: Duplodnaviria; Heunggongvirae; Peploviricota; Herviviricetes; Herpesvirales; Orthoherpesviridae.
UGGAUGGUUUGGAGACAGCUGCGGUGGUCUAUACAUCUAAUAACCAUCCAUGCAAUCUCCAAACAACCUA